Molecule: ribosomal RNA, 253 nt
Filed under: uncultured bacterium
Lineage: Bacteria
Description: partial 16S ribosomal RNA
Rfam family: Bacterial small subunit ribosomal RNA
Source: RNAcentral
UACGUAGGGUGCGAGCGUUAAUCGGAAUUACCGGGCGUAAAGCGUGCGCAGGCGGUUCGUUAAGUCAGAUGUGAAAGCCCCGGGCUCAACCUGGGAACUGCAUUUGAAACUGGCGGGCUUGAGUGUGGCAGAGGGGGGUGGAAUUCCGCGUGUAGCAGUGAAAUGCGUAGAGAUGCGGAGGAACACCGAUGGCGAAGGCAGCCCCCUGGGCCAACACUGACGCUCAGGCACGAAAGCGUGGGGAGCAAACAGG